This 1227-nucleotide ribosomal RNA is filed under the name Triticum aestivum (bread wheat). RNAcentral describes it as "partial small subunit ribosomal RNA". Lineage: Eukaryota; Viridiplantae; Streptophyta; Magnoliopsida; Poales; Poaceae. The record is from RNAcentral.
AUGGGAAGCAUCGGAACCACCAACGGCAGCGGCAUCGGGCACGGCAGUGCCGCGGUGGCGCGGCGGCAGCACGCCGAAGGCCCCGCGGCCAUGCUCGGCAUCGGCACGGCGAACCCCACCGGCGUCGAGGUGCCCCAGAACAUCUUCGCCGAGAACCUCUUCCGCGUCACCAAGAGCGACCACCUCACUGAGCUCCAGCAGAAGCUCACCAGAAUCUGCGAGAAGACGGGCAUCGACAAGCGCCACUUCCACCUGACGGAGGAGACGCUGGUGGCGCACCCGGAGCUGUACGACCACGACGCGCAGUCGCUGGACAACCGCCUCGCCAUGACCGUCGACGCCGUGCCGAAGCUGGCGCAGUGCGCGGCCGCCAAGGCCAUCUCUGAGUGGGGCCGCCCGGCGAGCGAGAUCACCCACCUCGUCUUCAGCACCUACUCCGCCUGGGGAGCCCCUAGCGCCGACCUGCGGUUGGCCACGCUGCUCGGCCUCCGCCCCACGGUCAGCCGCACCAUCCUCAGCCUCCACGGCUGCUACGGCGGCGGCCGGGCGCUGGGCCUCGCCAGGGAGCUCGCCGAGAACAACCGCGGCGCGCGUGUCCUGGUGGCCUGCGCCGAGAUCACGCUCGUCUGCUUCGGCGGGCCCGACGGCGGCAACCUCGUCGGCCACGCGCUGUUCGGGGACGGCGCCGGCGCGGUCAUCGUCGGGGCCGGCCCCUUCCGCGACGGCGAGCAGAGCCCCAUCUUCGAGAUGGUCCACGCCACGCAGACCACGGUGCCCAAGACCGAGCACGCGCUCGGCAUGCAGGUCUCCGGCAGCGGCGUCGACUUCCACCUCGCCAUCCAGGUGCCCACGCUCAUCGGGCAGAACGUGGAGCGCUGCCUCCUCGACGCGUUCCGCGGAGGAGACGACGACGACGACGACGGCCAUGGUGCUCAUCUUCCGUCUCCGUUAUCAGGGAACGGGAAGUGGAACGACCUCUUCUGGGCGGUGCACCCGGGCGGCCGCCCCAUCCUGGACAACAUAGACAAGGUGCUCCAGCUGGAGCCGGAGAAGCUGGGGGCCAGCCGGCACGUGCUCCGCGAGUACGGCAACAUGAGCGGCGCGACCAUCGUCUUCGUGCUCGACGAGCUGCGCCGGCGCCGGAGCCUGCUGCCGGAGUGGGGCGCCAUGCUGGCCUUCGGACCCGGGGUCACAAUUGAGACCAUGGUGCUCCGCUGUCCACGCUAG